Molecule: non-coding RNA, 1656 nt
Organism: Caretta caretta (loggerhead turtle)
Lineage: Eukaryota; Metazoa; Chordata; Testudines; Cheloniidae
Source: RefSeq, a predicted model, not a curated record
GUAUUCCUAGCCAGUGGUUAUCAAAAAGAGAGCUCAGAAAGAAAACCUGAAAAUCUGCACUUAAUGGGUACUAGGUGUGUGCUCCUUCUGCAGGUCACCAGGGACACAGAGAAGCACUAGACCCAGCAUUGUAAAGGCAAACCUUGUAACUGAGAUAAUGGAAUGAAAAGCACAGAAGUUCAGAGACAACACGUCUAGUCUUGGCAAUGCCCAGGAGUGUUCUACAUCUGAGCUUUGGCGAGUUGGAAGUUAUGAGAUGCACUCCCAUAUGGGCAAGCAGUAAGAAGAGAGGAUGAUGUCUUUGUGCUCUUCUUGUCCCUCUUAUGAUGACAGGAGAAAGAUAUUAACUUGUGUGAAAUGGUGGCUUCCAGCAGAAGGUUUUACAUCCUGCCUAAUAAAGAAGGCCCAUCAAUGCCAGACAAACGAUUGUGGAACCUUAAAGAGGAAAAAAGACUUCACUGAUUUGCUCUUUCCUCUCUCCUGAGAUGAAUCUUGCAAGUGAAUUCCUCCCAUCAGGUGAGAAGCACAAAGGGGGAAUGAGAUAAACACCCCAAAAGGAAGAAACUGUAUCUCUAUGCAGCUUGGGUUCUUGAGGGCAAGGUUUUCUAGGCAUAAGCAAGAGAGCACCAGUGUUUAGCUUGGGUUAUUCCUAAGGGACAUAUAGAGCUUGCUUAUUAUAUUAUACAUUUUAUUAUACUAUAUUAUUUGUGUGUAUUUGUAUCUGCUUUAGCCUUGUAAAUAACACUUAUUUCCUUUUCCUAGUUAAAUCUUUAAAUAGUUUAUUAUAGGAUUGCCUACCAGCAUUGUCUUUGGUGUGAGAUUUAAGGUGCAAUUGACCUGGGGUAAGUGACCAGUCCUUUGGGACUGGGAGUAACCUGAAUAUUUCUGUGAUUUUUUUGUGUGUGUGUUCAGGGACCAUCUAUCACAAAGGCAAGCUUCUCUAGGUGACAAGAUAAAUUGGAGCUCCAAGGUUACUGUCAGUGACUCCAUGGUUAGGCUGUUAGAGUGCCUGAGGAGUUUACACUUGAUACUUGGUUGGUGAAAUCUAAGUGUAGAACUCACAAGAAAUUUGGGGUUUGUGCCUUGCCUCUUAACAGUCUGCCCUGAGGCUGGUACUCACGCUUUUAAGCCACUACAGGACAGAUUGACAGUCACAUCUUCAGAAAGAUGCAACACCAAAAAAGAGGAGCAAGUGGUCUUUGGUUUUAUAAAUUCUCUGCACAGCUUUUCUCAGCCUUCAGAUCCAGGAGUUUUCUCUUCAGUCUUUGAGCCUUGAACUGUUCUGCAGUGCUUGUGACAUUUAAGGAUUGAUGCCUGAGAUUAGAAAAUAUACUCCUUCCACUGUAUUUUAUAUUAAUAAUAAAUAAAAAUACUAUAUUAAUGAUGGUAAUUGUGAGGCAACCUGACUUAAAAUUUGAUUGCCUUCACUUUUCACUAUGAUCAGUAAGACUGGAAGUUAAUUUAAAUAGUAUGUAUUAUUCAAAGCAUGUCUUUUAAACAUCUGACGGUAUCAUUAAUAUACAUGUACAGGGCAAUUUCAGAGACACAUGUUUGAUGUGGAAGGAUUCUGAAUGUGUAUUGAGUAAUGAUUCUUUCUUUUGUGAAGUUGUAAUUAACUUAUUAAAAAUCCAUCCUUCAACACAUAAAAAUACUUAC